Molecule: long non-coding RNA, 242 nt
Filed under: Erythranthe guttata (spotted monkey flower)
Lineage: Eukaryota; Viridiplantae; Streptophyta; Magnoliopsida; Lamiales; Phrymaceae
Description: long non-coding RNA (EGUT_LNC001647)
Source: RNAcentral
AUGAUGUUUGAAGUAAAUAAUCGCAUGUUUUUAGUUCGUCUUCGUAACAAUUAGUGGCAUUGAGUUUGAAUUUUUGGUGUUUUUGUUUUGAUUUUGGGGCAAUGAUUGGGAGAUCUGUAGCUUUUUGGCUAAGGUAGCUAAUCUGUAACUUUUAUUUUGUUUGAUUCUUAUGUUGUUCAUUUUUGUUAUAAAUCAUAUGUCUUUAUUUUUCGAAUUUAUUUGAAGAUGAUCCAAAAUACCUA